CCUACGGGGGGCAGCAGUGGGGAAUAUUGCACAAUGGGGGAAACCCUGAUGCAGCAACGCCGCGUGAGCGAUGAAGGCCUUCGGGUCGUAAAGCUCUGUCCUAAGGGAAGAAUACUGACGGUACCUUAGGAGGAAGCCCCGGCUAACUACGUGCCAGCAGCCGCGGUAAUACGUAGGGGGCUAGCGUUAUCCGGAAUUACUGGGCGUAAAGGGUGCGUAGGCGGCCCUUUAAGUCAGAGGUGAAAGGCUACGGCUCAACCGUAGUAAGCCUUUGAAACUGUAGGGCUUGGGUGCAGGAGAGGAGAGUGGAAUUCCAAGUGUAGGGGGGAAAUGCGUAGAUAUUGGGGGGAACACCAGUGGGAAAGGCGGCUCUCUGGACUGUACCUGCCGCUGAGGAACGAAGCGUGGGGAGCGAACAGGAUUAGAUACCCCAGUAGUC
Molecule: ribosomal RNA, 439 nt
Filed under: uncultured bacterium
Lineage: Bacteria
Description: bacterial SSU rRNA
Rfam family: Bacterial small subunit ribosomal RNA
Source: RNAcentral